RNAcentral lists this ribosomal RNA (200 nucleotides) under uncultured bacterium. RNAcentral describes it as "partial 16S ribosomal RNA". It matches the Rfam family "Bacterial small subunit ribosomal RNA", at positions 524 to 723 of the family's 1533-position model. The record is from RNAcentral.
UACGGAGGGUGCAAGCGUUGUUCGGAAUAACUGGGCGUAAAGCGCGCGCAGGCGGGUUUGUAAGUCAUCUGUGAAAGCCCUGGGCUCAACCUAGGAAUUGCAGGUGAAACUACAAAUCUUGAAUACUGGAGAGGAUGGUGGAAUUCCUGGUGUAGAAGUGAAAUUCAUAGAUAUCAGGAGGAACACCCGAGGCGAAGGCG